UAUGCCAAUAAACCACUCUUCCCGAGGAAAGCUGUGCUGAGGGAUGCCCCACACUGUUACCAUCACCCAGGCUAGACCCAGCAGGGCCCCUUUGAGCUCCAAGCUCAAAGCCACACACUGCCACAAGUCCUUUGUGACCAGGGGGGUGACAGGGCCUGGGGUGGUGAAGCCUGCCAGGUCUGGGUGCACCCAGGAGAUAGGCACACUAAGAGCAAAGAGCACUCGGGUGCAACCUGGCUGCUCAGCAGAGGGUCUGGAGUGCAGCAUUUUUCCAGGGCUCCAGGCACACGGGGCAGGAGCAGGCAAGAGCUGGAAGCAGGCUGGUUGUGUAACAGAAAAAUCUUUUAUUGAGUUCAGGAGGCCGAGAACUUCCUCAGCGUGAUGAUGACCAACGCCACAAGCACAGACGUCCCCAGGAGGGAAGCGAUGACGAUGGCACCGAUAGCUCCGGGCCCCAGUGAGCCUGCAGGGACAGAAAACGAGCACAGGUUAGUUACAACUGAGACCAGGAAAAGGGAAGAAAAUCUCAGAGUUUCUGUAAAGAAAUCCACCAUAAGUUUUCCGAGGAUGCAGGAACUCAGAGGGACUCCAGCCACGUGGGCUGUAGAGAGAUCCAGAGAGGAUGACACCAAGGGCAACCUGACAAAACUGCUGUUUCCAUGCUCAGAGAGAAGAAGGUGAGGUGAGCUGCCAGCACAGUGACAUGGUGGCCAGUGCCCCAGGUACUCAGUGACAAAGGUAAGGCUGGAAGAGUCUCCACAAGUGACAGGUCUUGGGGAAGCUGUGAUGGAGCCAGACCCUCCCAGACAGGCAGACUGCAAGACCUCAGGGCUGGCAGAUGUGGCCACUUCACAUCUUCAUCCCGAGAUCACUCACCAGUGACCAAUACUCUUCCUCACACGAGCUGAUUUCAGCACCUUGUCAUCCUCACUCCCCACUUCCAACCUUAGCCAGGAGUCAGUAACAGCAUCAGUAGUUUAUAAGGAGCAUUGGUACAGAGCAAGGCUGAGUAACAGCCGACAAAGCCCUGCUGUAAGUCUGAACCACAUCUUCUCCAGAAAUUUCCCUGACAAAACCUAUUUACUGCUUCUCAUGUUCUAGUACUUGAGCUUUAAAAACUUCCUAAUAAUUUUUUAGUCUCCUAUAGUUGAGAAUGAGGACACACGAGCUGCUACGAGAUGUCCCCGGUCAAGGUGGUGUCCUGUGUAUUUUCCUCCAGCACAUCUGCCCUGCUGCUUUUCCCCUCAAACUCCUUCUGAUGUGCCACCACAGCACAACAUAAUUCCACACUAGCUCAAACCAAAGAAACUCAGGAGCCCUUAGGUGAAUUUAGAUAGCAAAUAUGCGCACGAUUCAGAAGCCCACACCUUGCAAAGGCUUUUUACUCCCUUCCACUUCACUCGGAGCUCUGAAUCUAUCACAGGAAUUGAACGUGGGUUUGCUGAUGGAGUUGCUGGCACAGCUGCAGCCUGCCCAGGGCAGCCCCUGCCCCGGCCCCGGGGAGGGCUCUGCUGUGCACUCCGAGGUGCUGGGAGGGGAGGGCAGGGCUGGUGAACUCUGAGGACAGCACCGGGCUGUCCAGCCCCAGGUGACCACGGUGGCACAGGGCCAGGGCAGGAUGAAAAGAGGCCUUCACCGGGAGCACAAAGGGCAUCUGUGCCGGGUGAGUGCCACAACACGGAGCGCUGCGGUCCUGAGGAACGGGGAGCAAACUUGUUUACAGAGAGGCAGGGCCACGUGUGGAUGUGCUCAGACCAGAGGGCUGUCUGUGCCCUUCCCUUCUUUGUCUGCACCAGGCAGGAAAUUUCCUUUUCUAAUGGACUAAAAGGCAGAAAAAAAUUCCACUGUGUGCUAAAAGCUCCUGUACUGGGGCAGGAACUCUCGAUGCCUAAUGCAGCAGAGAGUCAUUCUGCUCCUGGGAUGGCUUCCCAUACAAGCUGGUUCCCUCAUAUCCUCUUUGAGGGAGCAGGGAACAACCUGAUAGAGGCCUUAAGCAGAGAAAGCAUGAGGUCUGUCCUGCACACCAGGAUCUGAACGUUGCAUUCACCAGCACAAAGCCCUUCAAGAGCACUGGCCUUGCUGCACGAGCACAGCUCAGCCAGUAAAGGAAUCAAGUAAACCUGGGAGUAUCUCACAGGAGCAAAGUGACACAGGGAGGCAGUGACAGGGCAAUGCCAGAGCAGGCCCACAGGAAAGCUGGCAAGGAGGGAGGCAGAGCAAAUAUGCACCAAAUACUGGAAAUUUAAACACCAUAGAAGAAAUCCCAGCUCAGAGAGGAAACAGACUGAAUUCUCACUGGAAAUGAAUCACUUCCUGCAGAGUGAAAUACUGUUAAUGAUGAAGAAAUAUCUUACCUGGUGCAGGGCAAGAGCAUGGUCACUGCUCCUGGGAGCAAGAGCAAGGCACAAAUUGAAACUGUGCUGAAGUGAUUAAUGUUCCACUGUACAAAAAAGGUUGAGGGUUUGAGAAGAAAAGUAUGAGCUUUUUAGUGCUCAUUUCUUAUUUACUUUAAAAGUUUCCCAGCAGGAAGGUGUCCUCCACAGGGAGGAUACCAGCUGCAGGAAUUCUGUUCCUGUACCCACAGCUGUUCCAGCCAGGCACAGCACUGAAUUCUCCUACCCCUAUGAAAGCCCCUUUAGAAAGAAGUGAUUUCAUAAUUUCAUCUGCUAAACAGCUGGCCAGGAUCUCCCUGCUAGGCAAGAUGCUCAGAACAAACUGGGAGGGAACAGCAAACCAGCCUUGCUCCAGGUCUAGGGAGGAAGGACAGGAAUUCAGGAAAACAAAUGCUGUGCUCCUGCCUGUUAUCCUGGCCCCAGCCAUCCCUUCAGCCUCACCUCCACUGAAAGAAAGGCUCUGAGGGAAGCGGUUCCCCACAGGAGUUUCCACCUCUACGCUCAGAGCCCAUCAACACAGCGGGUUUGGAAGCCCAGUUUUCCCUCCCCUGUAAAACCCACCUGAGCCCUGCAGCCUGGAGGCUGCCUGUGCUCCCUGCAGCCAGCACAGGGUGCCAAGGGCAGGGCAGGUAGGGCUGAAAUUACUGAUGAUUCCCUCAAAAACGGUGCCUUACAGAACAGGCACCUCACCUGUUCUGAUUCCCAUCCCCUCACUGAACAUGGGGCAGAGUUUUCCCAGUGCUGCCUCGGGACCCCCAGCUCUGCACAGACCCCCUGAGGAUGCAGAGUUUGGCUUUGGAUGGAGGUUUUCGUGGACACUUCCCUAUUUCUGCCAGCAGCAGCUGUUGGGGAGUUCCCUGCUGUAGCAGAGUAAAGAAGGAACCAGGAAUUGCCCCACAUGCUUUAGCCCCAAAAAUCAUUUCUUUUCACAACUGUAACUUCUUCCUGCCAUUAAAAGCUGAUGCACAGCCUGUCCCCUCAGCUGCUGGGAGGUUUUCCAUCUCCUGUGGCUGAUGUGACCACUGAUCUCCAGCCACCUACGCUCACAUACGUGCUACUGCUGUUCUGCUUAGGAAAAGUUACAAACAAUUUUCUCCAUUUUCCCCCAACAGAAACAUAGGUUUGGGAUGGAAAAUAUAAUCUUACUCACCACCAGUCACCAAUUCCAAAGAUGGUUUCCAUUAAUCAGUUAUAAUUCAACACAUAGAUGUUUUCAGAGAAGUGACAGGAGAGAGAGGCAGUAUAAUAAAGGAUCUUCCACACUUUUGGGCUUUACAUGCAAACAAAGCUCCUUACCUGCCAGCACAGCAGGGACCAGGAUGCCACACAGUGUUAGCAGGACCAGGCAAAGGGCUCUGUGGCAGGGCAUGGCUUCCCUCAGGAACAGCGUCGGCAGGAAUCCUUAAAACUCUUUCAAAGUAUGGAACAACGUGGAAAUGUCACUGCUAUAAUAAAAAUCUUGUCCAGAAAGGUAAAAAAAAAAUAAUUCCCUUCACAACAGCAAGUGUGUAGAGAGAGUGCAAAGCCCAGCAGAGCCUCCCUCGCUCUGGCUCCAGGAGUACAGCUCCUCCCGAAGGCAGCUCCACCCUCCCAAACUUGUGCAGAAAAGCCCAGAGCAGCCCAGCCUCGGGCAGCUCACCCUGCCAGGCCAGUGCACACAGAGCAGUUGUUGGUGAGCCCUUCCCAGAGGCCGCAGGGAUGCUCCUGGAAUGCCUUCCCUCGGCAGGGGAAUAACACAGGAGCCAUUGGGGCAGCUCGCCCCAAACCCCGCAGCCCCGGGCUCUGAGGGCUCUGCCCUCGCUGUGCAGGGCCUGCAGGUACUUCAGGGUGGGCACAGCAAAGAACAAGGGCCUCAAUCAGAGCUCAAACGCUCUGACAGAGCCAGAGCAGCCCCGUGGCACCAAUUUCUGGGUGGAAUACUUACAGAGCUGGACUGGGAGCCGUGGGUGGUCUUCGCUGCCCAGUAAACGCUGGGAAGUCUUGCAGGAGAGUCGGCUCUGGAGGGCAGGGCCAGCAUCCUCCUGGGAUCCCAAGGGCACAGACACCACUCCUGCCAGCUCUGCCAUCGGCCCUGCCCGCCUGGGGGCUCGUGGGAAGGUCACAGCACAGAAAACAGGCUUGUUUCAAAUCACAUUUGCACCAACAGAGACUGGGGGAAGGAUGAAGUGUAUAAAAAGGGGAACACCCCAGCUGACUGUCACAGAAUAAUUUCAUUAGGAUUUUUUAAACUGUUGGGAAUUAAAUACUUCAUGUUUUCAAGUAAUGAAGUACACAAACACUCCCAAUGUCAGUACUUUAUGCUCUGAAAAUUUGACACAAGUAUUUUUGGGUUAAAUUUCAGAUACAGAUUUUUCUGCUAAGAGAUCUCUCUGCUUUUUUGCUUUCUCUGACAGGCAGCCAGACACAGUUUAGGUGUCCCUUUAAAUCACUGCUUGCUGCACGCCUUUGCAAGAAGUGCCUGGCUGAGAGGGGAAGCAGCAAAACCAGAGAGAACAGAGUCCUGUCCCUGCAGUGAAACAAGGAGUGAGGCAGCUACCUGGGGAAUCAUGCUCAGAAGAGACCUGAGACACCUCCAGCAUCGAAUUCAACAUCAUCUGUCAAACCUGGAGCAAAGCCCCAGCAGGUUCUGUCUGCAAAGGUGCUCAAAGCACGGAAACGCAUCCAGCAGCAGGUAAAAUGCUACAGCUCCUAUUUUUCCCAUUCCUACUGAUCCAAACAACUCCUGCUACAGAAACAGACCCUGUGUUUGUCACAGGAGGUGACAAGGCAGUCACCUGAGCACACAAUCUGCACAUGCCAGCACCUCCCCUUUGUACCAAACACAGAAACCAGCACAUUUCAGUACCAAGAACAAGAUCUUCCCCACUGGUCCAUUAUUGACAAACGCUGAGAGGCUGAGUGAGACCCUCAGGGUCUAUUGCACAUUUCCCCUGCUUGCAUUUCUGCAUUUUCAUGUAGUAAUCAAGAAGCUGCUCCUUCCCUGCCCCCCAUCUGAGCUGGAAAUUAAUGGGCUUUUGUGUAUUUGUUACAUGGUAGAGAGCAGUCCAAAACUGGAUUGUAGAAAUUAGAUCAUACCAUUAAAAAACAUUAUUAACCAGACACCUCAUAUGCUAAAAAAAAAAGAGAAGAUAUUAAAACAAAGUCAGGUUAUCAGCCUAAACACGUCCUGUUUGCUCUGAGACAUCAGCUAAACAUCAUGCAAGGCACUGUGUAAUUUGGGCCUUAGCACACUUACUUUCUGUGGUCAUGUGAACGGCAGGAGAACAUUCAUCAUUACCUUUUACUGGGAUUUUCCACACAAAAAUAAGCAGCAAGUAGAAAAAAAAAAAAA
Long non-coding RNA from Chiroxiphia lanceolata (lance-tailed manakin), 5724 nucleotides. RefSeq lists it as uncharacterized. Lineage: Eukaryota; Metazoa; Chordata; Aves; Passeriformes; Pipridae. The transcript has 2 exons. The record is from RefSeq and is a predicted model, not a curated record.